AAACUGGAUCAGUUUAUUGUACAGCAGAAAUUGACAGAACAUUGUAUAUCAACUAUACUAAAAAAAAGUUUUUUUUAAGUCAUCACUUUACAGAAGUGAAUUUUUUUUCCCCUGUGGAACCAUGUGUUAAUUCAAUAAGCAAUUUCCUCUAAUUCCUUGAAGUCAUCACCAGGUGUUACUUUCUGAAAAUUUAUUAUAAAAUUACCUUUUACAUCACUUUCAUCAGUAGCCCUCAAAACUCAGAUCAACCUAUGAGUGUUCUCUAGUCUUAAAAAAUGCCCAGUUCCGCUUUACAUUGUCAGGCUGUAUUAAGUUGGUUUUGUUUUGUUUUCUUUUUAUAGCAACACCCAUGGCAUAUGGAAUUUCCUGCUGAAGAGCAGCAACUGGGGCCUACACCAGUCACAGCAACACUGGAUCCAAGCCCUAUCUUCAACCUACGCCAUAGCUUGUGGCAACAUAGGAGCCUUAACUCACUGAGCAAGGCCAGGAAUCAAACCCACAUCCUCACAGAGAUAAUAUUAUAUCCUUAACCUGCUGAGCCACAAUGGAAACUCCAGUUUGCUAACUAAAACUUAAGGACUUAAAAUAACAAUCAUGAUUCUCUAUGUAGUUUGCCAUUUGGGGCUAGGUUCAGCUGGUGGCUCUUGUGGUCUUAGCUGGGCUAAUUCAUGCUCUGGAGUCAGUUGCUGGAUCGGCUGGGAGAUGCUGGUCUAGUAAGUCUCAGACGGGACAGCUUGUCUCUAAUGCAUGUGGUCUCCCAUCCUCCAAAAUGCUAGGCUGGGCCUGGAGGCUGCACAGAGUUCCAAGAGGGAGAAAGCAGAAGUGAUCGACGCUCUUGAUGUAUAGGCUCAGAAUUAGCACAUAAUUACUUCUGCCACAUUCUACUAGCCAAGUCACAUGACCAGCUUAUUUGCAAGGGGUGGAGAAAUAAAAUCCACAUCUUAAUGGGAAGAUUGCAAAGUCACAUUGCAAAAGGUGUGGAUAUAGAGGCAAAGGAUUGUGGCCAUUUUUGCAAUCUAUCAUCCAGAUAAGAUUGCCAGAUAAAAUACAGGACACCCAGUUAGUGAAGAAUAUUUUAGUAUAGGUAUGUCCCAUGACUUAUUUAGGACAAGUCUAUAAAAAAAUAAAUAAAUGAUUUUUUGUUUAUCGUAAAUUCACAUUGAACUGGAUAUCCUGUAUUUUUGUUUGCUAAACCUGGCAACCCUACGCACUGAUCAUAUCAAAAAUAAAUAAAACCUCUCUAUCUAAAAGAGAAAGAGAACUUUGAACUUGAAAUUAAUUUUAAAGUAUACAAUUAUAGCAAAUGAUGUUAGAAUGAGCUCCAAGUACGCCUAAAGGAAAUGAGUAACUUGGCCCCCUCUCCAGAGUCUACGAAACUUCUUGGCUUAACUGGUAUUAAAUAACCCUAAAAAUAAUAUAUAACAUACUCUGUUUCAUAUCAGAUAUGCAUUAGAGGAAAAAAUGCUACAUAGAACAUUAACAAGAGAAGAGUCUAUCCUUUCUACAAUUUGGACCAUUCUAUACUUAAAAUAAUUCUUUUACCUACCUAAGAGGAAUUUUUUAAAUCCUUGGAAAAUAUUAAUCAUUAUGCUGUCCUAGAAUUUAUUAUACCUAAUCAGACCAAGGAUACUUGAAAUUCAUGUUUUAAGUACCCCAUUCAUACACCGUAGUAAAAUUUGAUGCUUUCCUCUAUGACUUUUUAUGACUGCUGUAUUUUUCCUACUAUAACUUUUGUGACUGGAAGUGACAGUGCAAAGGUCAAAUAAAUGUACACCAUUAAGCAAUACAACCUGACAUUUCUAGACAAUAACUGCCUCAGAUGAGGAAAGGGACACAUGCCUGAAAUGUCACAGCCCUUCUUGAUGUCCUUUUGCUCUUGAGGUCAUCUGCUGGCUGAGCGCAAUGAUUAUGCUACAAAUUUAUGAGGAAUCUCUCUGAUGGCAUUCCUAGGUAAUACAGAAUUCAGCACACAGGACAUGCUGAGUGUUAUUAACCAGCUUGUGAUGCAGUUUCUUGCACUCAGCUUUAAAUAAGAUCAAGCUCUUUUGUUUAUCCCAGAACCUCAGACUUGAAAGGAAAUUUGAGAUUCCUACUCUAUGGCCCCAUUAUACAAAACACAAAACAAAAUCCUAUGUCCAGGAUUGUACCAGCAGAUGUGUGUGUGUGUGAUGGCAGAGCCUAGGAACAAAGAUUUCUGCGUUGUAUUUCAAACAUGAAGAUAAUGGACAAACCUGAUAAAAACUAGCAUCCACUUAGUUGGAGUUCCUUGGUGGCUUAGUGGUUAAGGAUCUGGCAUUGUCACUGUUGUGGCCUGGGUCACUGCUCUGUGGUAUAGGUUCAAACCCUGGCCCAGAAAUUUUGGCAUGCCAAAAGUGUGGCAAAAAAUAAAAAUAAAAAUAAAAAAGGAACAUCCAUUGAAGAAGAACUUUUUCAAAUAAACAAGUACAUUUCCAAAGAUUUCAUGGAGCAAAAUGACGGUCAAGUCUGCCAUGUUAGGACCAUAUUUAUAUUCCAAAUUUUACAGGAAACUUCCAGAUAUAGCUUGUCCUUCAGAAAGGGACUAACCAGAGAUUGCACUAAAAUAGGAAUGUGAAAGAUUAAUAUAGUUGGAAUUUUGAUAUCUCAUUUGUAAAAGUGAGUAAAGAGAUCCAGUUAUGAAACAGAGUUAUUGCAAACACAUAUUCAUUUCCCUGUACCAUAAUGUUCCCAGUUCACCCUACUUUCUGACUUCAAGCCAUGGACAACAUCAGUUUCUUUGUCUGGUGCCUCUUCUUUACAUUAUAAAGCCCUGUAACCCUCAAAUCCUAGAUGAAAUGCCAAACCUCCCACAAAAGUCUCCUAGAUCUCCCCAUUGUUUCAACUGCAUCCCACAUUUAAAAGAAAAUCUUCCGACUCUACAUUUCAACAUUUUCUCAUAUAAAUUAACUUCUGUCCUUACAUUGCUCUAAUGCAUAGCUCAUUCAUUCACUCUUUCAAUGUCCAUUAGGGAGAGCCUACUUAAUGCCAAGCUCUCUUCCAGGUUCUGCGGAUACAGUAUGAACAAAAGAAACAAAAAUCCCUGAUUUCUUGAAACUUACAUGCCAGUGGGUGAAGAGGACAUGGAACAAAUUUUUUUAAAAACCUAAACGGGAAAGAGUGAUAGAAAGUCCUGGGGAAAGAUGUACAAUUGUAAAUAGGGUGAUCGGCGAAGGCCUCACUGGCUGAUACUGGACAGAGGACUUGGAGGUGAGGGAGCAAGGCUCACAAGCGACCAGGAACGAUUCUUCUGGAAGGGGAAGAGCAAGCGCAAGAGCCCUGAGCCAGGAGGACACCAGGCACCCUGGAAUAAGAGCAAGAAAUCCCCUGUAGUUGAAACAGAGUGGCCAAGGCAAAGAUCAAUAGGAAAGAAGUCUAGAAAAGGAGCAGGAGGGGCUACACCAUGAAAGCCAUUGAUCACUUGGGAAGUAUAGUGGAUUGACGGUACCGAUGGAGAAUUAUUUGUUAGAGUUGUAGAACUAGAGGGAGUGAGUUGGAAAGUGGGUUAUUUUUAGAAGAUGGGACACUUGAAAUUGAGAUUAGGGAGGUUAUUUGUAAGGAUAAGUUUUGAUAAUGAAAAGGUCUAGAGUAUCACCUUCAGAGUGAGGGCUGAGGAAAGGGAGAGAAUAAGAUUAUUAGAACAAGGGAUAAAGACUAGUCUAGUCUCAUGAUAUGAUAUUGAGAACUGAUUGUUUUAAAGAAGAGGGAUAAGUUAUCUGAAGGCAGAAGGGAGAAUAUAGGGGAACACUUAACCUACCUCCAAGCCCAGUGGUAGAUGAGGAAGAGAAAAUAACCACUUGAGAGGGUUCUCAAGGAAGCAAGUUACAAGAAAGCCGGCGGGGGAGUGGGGGGUUGCUUGUUUUUCUUUUUAUGGUUGCACCUGAAGAAUAUGGAAGUUCCUGGUGCAGGAGUCAAAUUCAGUGCCACAGCUGGGGCCUAUGCCACAGCCACAGCAACGCAGAUCCAAACUUAUCUGUGACCUAAGCCACAGUUUGUGGCAAAAUUGGAUCCUUAACCCACUGAGUAAGGCCAGGGAUCGAACCUAUAUCCUCACAGAGACAAUGUCGGUUCCUUAGCCCACUGAACCACCAAGAGAGCCAGAUUUUAAUUAGAAUAAAAACAUGAAGAGAUUGGUCAGAAAGUACACUGAUAUCAGAAUUUUGCUAAUGCAUGACUCGGUUCCCAAGGACAGAGUGAAAGAGCUUGGGGAAUUGGAGAGGAGUGUGGGGUGCGGUCAGAAUACAGGUUAUACAGAGGAUCCAUUUGGAGAUUAGAGUGAGAAAGUUCAUAACUGAUCUUCUUGUGAGGACUGGCAGGUCAGUCCUGGUGGUUAUAAGUCUGCAGUGGGAAGCAAUGGAUGCUGGAAAUCGGGAGGGAGGAACAUUUUGCCAGAAGCAGUGUUCAGGGUCUCCCCUCUGUAUCCACAACCACAGAUAACUGAAGGCAUGAGAAGGGGCAGUCUCACUCCAAGCACAAAGGGCUGCCUCACUUACUCAUUCUCUCUUUGUUUCAGCAGUAUAUACUGUCUCAUUUUCCUACUAGAUCAUAAGCUCUUUGAGGUUAGUAAGAAAUUUUCCUCAUUUUGACCACACAUAUUGAUGGCCAGUACUAAAUUUGUCAAUAAAUAUUUGUUCAAAAACAAAUACAUACUUUUUACUGGAUGGAAGGAGUGGUUGAAAAAAGACAGAUGUUUUUGCACUCAGUCUUCCCUCUGAGAACCCUCAAGAGCUCCCCAACCCCUGACAUUCUUGAGUCCAGUCUUAGAAAACCAAGUGCUAUUACAAAACCUGGUAUGUAAUAAGUCUGCUUGUGAAAAGUGCAGGUUUAUGGCUCUCCUUCCCUAUUGUAAGAAGUCAUGUCUGUGUUUAUAAUAUUUGCCUCACUGAUCAUUUCCUUUUACAGAAGAGAGAAUCAAUAACCAAGACAAAGUACAAUUCUCUAAGGACACUGAAAUCCACUCCAAGUUUUCCUGACAAUUUGUCCAGACAUAGCCAUGCCCGGGAUCAAAUAACAAGGGUGAUGAUCUUGCUAUAAGCAAAGUUUUGGCAAUCCUGGGGAUCCAUGUCAUCAUCAGGUGUGACUCAGUCUUGGAACCAUUAAGGAAUUGAUAAUAUGUGGCUAACAGAUAAUCUGAUGUGGAGGCGAGGUUGUGGCAGGAAAAGCCCAGAAUUCACAAGGUGACCUAGAAUCAGCCUUAGCAAGUAUGUAACCCGACAGUUGAAUUGCUGGCAUAAGGUGACCAUCACCGACUUCUCAUCUGGGCCUCACCAAAACAAAGCCAUAGUAGCCACACCAGUUU
RNAcentral lists this long non-coding RNA (5314 nucleotides) under Sus scrofa (pig). RNAcentral's name for it is "lncRNA (ENSSSCG00000063458.1, ENSSSCG00130001987.1)". The record is from RNAcentral. Lineage: Eukaryota; Metazoa; Chordata; Mammalia; Artiodactyla; Suidae.